Molecule: ribosomal RNA, 501 nt
Filed under: uncultured bacterium
Lineage: Bacteria
Description: partial 16S ribosomal RNA
Rfam family: Bacterial small subunit ribosomal RNA
Source: RNAcentral
AUUGAACGCUGGCGGCAGGCUUAACACAUGCAAGUCGAGCGGGGGAAGGUAGCUUGCUACCGGACCUAGCGGCGGACGGGUGAGUAAUGCUUAGGAAUCUGCCUAUUAGUGGGGGACAACAUCUCGAAAGGGAUGCUAAUACCGCAUACGUCCUACGGGAGAAAGCAGGGGAUCUUCGGACCUUGCGCUAAUAGAUGAGCCUAGGUCGGAUUAGCUAGUUGGUGGGGUAAAGGCCUACCAAGGCGACGAUCUGUAGCGGGUCUGAGGGGAUGAACCGCCACACUGGGACUGAGACACGGCCCAGACUCCUACGGGAGGCAGCAGUGGGGAAUAUUAGACAAUGGGGGGAACCCUGAUCCAGCCAUGCCGCGUGUGUGAAGAAGGCCUUAUGGUUGUAAAGCACUUUAAGCGAGGAGGAGGCUACUCUAGUUAAUACCUAGGGAUAGUGGACGUUACUCGCAGAAUAAGCACCGGCUAACUCUGUGCCAGCAGCCGCAGUAA